AACGAACGCUGGCGGCAGGCUUAACACAUGCAAGUCGAGCGCCCCGCAAGGGGAGCGGCAGACGGGUGAGUAACGCGUGGGAAUCUACCCUUCACUACGGAACAACUCCGGGAAACUGGAGCUAAUACCGUAUACGUCCUUCGGGAGAAAGAUUUAUCGGUGAUGGAUGAGCCCGCGUUGGAUUAGCUAGUUGGUGGGGUAAUGGCCUACCAAGGCGACGAUCCAUAGCUGGUCUGAGAGGAUGAUCAGCCACAUUGGGACUGAGACACGGCCCAAACUCCUACGGGAGGCAGCAGUGGGGAAUAUUGGACAAUGGGCGAAAGCCUGAUCCAGCCAUGCCGCGUGAGUGAUGAAGGCCCUAGGGUUGUAGAGCUCUUUCACCGGUGAAGAUAAUGACGGUAACCGGAGAAGAAGCCCCGGCUAACUUCGUGCCAGCAGCCGCCGUAA
This 447-nucleotide ribosomal RNA is filed under the name uncultured bacterium. Its description in RNAcentral is "partial 16S ribosomal RNA". It matches the Rfam family "Bacterial small subunit ribosomal RNA", at positions 29 to 523 of the family's 1533-position model. The record is from RNAcentral.